GGAAACAAACACUGGGAAUUUAGAGGGACAAAUUACUAACUGCUCCAUCUACCUCAUUUCCUUAGACCACUUGAAUUUUUGAAACAUAUUGCAAUUAAAUGAAUUUGUGGUUUUUCUGGAUUUGGAACAAUGGCAAGAUUUGAAGAUGCUCAGACAGAAAGCUUCCUGCCUUGGGAAACAUAGAGUCAACACUAAAAUUUGUCCCAUCAAGUAGAAUCCUUAGUUCAGUCCAGGAUGGGCUCAGGGAUCUGAAUUUUGCUGUGCCUGGUGGUACAUGCUUGUAAUCUGAGGAAGCUGAGGCAAGUGGAUUGCAAAUUCCAGGCCUAUCUCAGCAACAUGGUAAGAACUUGUUUCAAAAUAAAAAAUAAAAAUGGCUAGGG
RNAcentral lists this long non-coding RNA (380 nucleotides) under Ictidomys tridecemlineatus (thirteen-lined ground squirrel). RNAcentral describes it as "lncRNA (ENSSTOG00000029976.1)". The record is from RNAcentral. Lineage: Eukaryota; Metazoa; Chordata; Mammalia; Rodentia; Sciuridae.